Non-coding RNA from Trametes cingulata, 105 nucleotides. Lineage: Eukaryota; Fungi; Basidiomycota; Agaricomycetes; Polyporales; Polyporaceae. The record is from the annotation of a GenBank genome assembly.
GCCCGCCUAGCUCAAUCGGAUAGAGCGUCAGACUCUUAGGGCGGAUGCGUUCUGACACCCCCGAGUGUGAUCUGAAGGCUGCGAGUUCGACCCUCGCGGUGGGCU